GGCCCGGUGGCGGAGUGUUUACGCAAAGGCCGUGCAAGGACUUUACCCUGGUUCAAUUCCAGGCCGGGCCUCCA
This 74-nucleotide transfer RNA is filed under the name Rhizobiales bacterium 64-17. Its description in RNAcentral is "tRNA-OTHER". Lineage: Bacteria; Pseudomonadati; Pseudomonadota; Alphaproteobacteria; Hyphomicrobiales. RNAcentral also lists the same sequence under 2 other names. The record is from RNAcentral.